This 492-nucleotide ribosomal RNA is filed under the name uncultured Oscillospiraceae bacterium. RNAcentral's name for it is "bacterial SSU rRNA". It matches the Rfam family "Bacterial small subunit ribosomal RNA", at positions 16 to 507 of the family's 1533-position model. The record is from RNAcentral. Lineage: Bacteria; Bacillati; Bacillota; Clostridia; Eubacteriales; Oscillospiraceae.
AUCCUGGCUCAGGAUGAACGCUGGCGGCGUGCUUAACACAUGCAAGUCGAACGAGAACCAUUGGAUCGAGGAUUCGUCCAAGUGAAGGUGGGGAAAGUGGCGGACGGGUGAGUAACGCGUGAGCAAUCUGCCUUGGAGUGGGGAAUAACGGCUGGAAACAGCCGCUAAUACCGCAUGAUACAGCUGGGAGGCAUCUCCCUGGCUGUCAAAGAUUUAUCGCUCUGAGAUGAGCUCGCGUCUGAUUAGCUAGUUGGCGGGGUAACGGCCCACCAAGGCGACGAUCAGUAGCCGGACUGAGAGGUUGGCCGGCCACAUUGGGACUGAGACACGGCCCAGACUCCUACGGGAGGCAGCAGUGGGGAAUAUUGGGCAAUGGAGGGAACUCUGAUGCAGCGACGCCGCGUGAGGGAAGAAGGUUUUCGGAUUGUAAACCUCUGUCUUCGGUGACGAAACGAGACGGUAGCCGAGGAGGAAGCCACGGCUAACUACGUG